RNAcentral lists this ribosomal RNA (252 nucleotides) under uncultured bacterium. Its description in RNAcentral is "partial 16S ribosomal RNA". It matches the Rfam family "Bacterial small subunit ribosomal RNA", at positions 525 to 776 of the family's 1533-position model. The record is from RNAcentral.
ACGAAGGGUGCUAGCGUUGUUCGGAAUUAUUGGGCGUAAAGAGCGCGUAGGCGGCUUAAUAAGUUGGGAGUGAAAUCCCGGGGCUUAACCCCGGAAUUGCUUUCAAAACUAUUAGGCUAGAGUUUGACAGGGGGUGACGGAAUUCCUAGUGUAGAGGUGAAAUUCGUAGAUAUUAGGAGGAACACCGGUGGCGAAGGCGGUCACCUGGGUCAUAACUGACGCUGUGGCGCGAAAGCGUGGGGAGCAAACAGG